RNAcentral lists this ribosomal RNA (429 nucleotides) under uncultured archaeon. Its description in RNAcentral is "bacterial SSU rRNA". It matches the Rfam family "Archaeal small subunit ribosomal RNA", at positions 474 to 903 of the family's 1478-position model. The record is from RNAcentral.
UACCAGCUCUCCGAGCGGUAGGGAUGAUUAUUGGGCUUAAAGCGUCCGUAGCCGGCUUAGCAAGUUUCCUGUUAAACUCAGCGACCUAAUCGUUGAAUCGCGGGAAAUACUACUAGGCUAGGAGGCGGGAGAGGUCGACGGUACUUCCGGGGUAGGGGUGAAAUCCUAUAAUCCCGGGAGGACCACCAGUGGCGAAGGCUGUCGACUAGAACGCGCUCGACGGUGAGGGACGAAAGCUGGGGGAGCGAACCGGAUUAGAUACCCGGGUAGUCCCAGCUGUAAACGAUGCGGGCUAGGUGUUGGGGUGGCUACGAGCCACUUCAGUGCCGCAGGGAAGCCAUUAAGCCCGCCGCCUGGGGAGUACGGCCGCAAGGCUGAAACUUAAAGGAAUUGGCGGGGGAGCACCACAAGGGGUGAAGCUUGCGGUUU